UCAUUAAGUGAAUACAUAGCUUAAUGAGGGGAACUCAGGGAACUGAAACAUCUAAGUACCUGAAGGAAGAGAAAGAAAUUCGAUUCCGUAAGUAGCGGCGAGCGAACGCGGAUUAGCCCAAACCAAUGAAGUUUUCUUUAUUGGGGUUGCGGACAUAUCAUAACGAAGAGGUAUCGUAAUUGAAGAGGUUUGGAAAGACCCACCACAGAAGGUAAUAGUCCUGUAUGUUAAACGAGAAGACUU
This 243-nucleotide ribosomal RNA is filed under the name Clostridioides difficile. Its description in RNAcentral is "partial 23S ribosomal RNA". It matches the Rfam family "Bacterial large subunit ribosomal RNA", at positions 150 to 395 of the family's 2925-position model. Lineage: Bacteria; Bacillati; Bacillota; Clostridia; Peptostreptococcales; Peptostreptococcaceae. The record is from RNAcentral.